GGGGGCGAUUGGCUUCGACAGAGAUGUGAAGUUCAGGGUUGCAUAUCAAGGGUAGCUGGAUACCUUGUAAAUCCAUCUGGCAUUAAAUUUAAUCGCCGAUUUAAGUCCAUUGGCAUUAGCCCCUAGCCUUAGCUAGAGGGCUACACCCCUUACUUUCUGCUUUGUGAAGUAAGAACGGUGUCAGAAAGCGGAGCUAGCCUUAUUUCUGGGCAGUAGGGGAUAAGGCAAAUCAAAAGCUGCUAGCCUCUUUUUCAUCCUGUCUGCGGGAGGGGGAAAAGGUGAAUUUAAAUUGUAGACUAAGUAUGUAGAUACUCUGACUCUUUAGUUUCUGGACGAGGGUUCGAUUCCCUCCGCCUCCACCA
Molecule: transfer-messenger RNA, 362 nt
Filed under: Candidatus Aerophobota bacterium
Lineage: Bacteria; Candidatus Aerophobota
Also listed under: 1 other name
Description: Candidatus Aerophobetes bacterium transfer-messenger RNA
Rfam family: transfer-messenger RNA
About the family: Bacterial tmRNA, also known as 10Sa RNA or SsrA, is named for its dual tRNA and mRNA-like properties. Its role is to liberate the mRNA from a stalled ribosome. To accomplish this part of the tmRNA is used as a reading frame that ends in a translation stop signal.
Source: RNAcentral